GACGAACGCUGGCGGCGUGCUUAACACAUGCAAGUCGAACGGUAAGGCCCCUUCGGGGGUACACGAGUGGCGAACGGGUGAGUAACACGUGGGUGACCUGCCCUGUACUUCGGGAUAAGCCUGGGAAACUGGGUCUAAUACCGGAUAUGACCUUCCUCUGCAUGGGGGUUGGUGGAAAGCUUUUGCGGUACAGGAUGGGCCCGCGGCCUAUCAGCUUGUUGGUGGGGUAAUGGCCUACCAAGGCGACGACGGGUAGCCGGCCUGAGAGGGCGACCGGCCACACUGGGACUGAGACACGGCCCAGACUCCUACGGGAGGCAGCAGUGGGGAAUAUUGCACAAUGGGCGAAAGCCUGAUGCAGCGACGCCGCGUGAGGGAUGACGGCCUUCGGGUUGUAAACCUCUUUCAGUAGGGACGAAGCGCAAGUGACGGUACCUACAGAAGAAGCACCGGCCAACUACGUGCCAGCCGCCGCCGUAAAAC
RNAcentral lists this ribosomal RNA (483 nucleotides) under uncultured bacterium. RNAcentral describes it as "bacterial SSU rRNA". It matches the Rfam family "Bacterial small subunit ribosomal RNA", at positions 28 to 526 of the family's 1533-position model. The record is from RNAcentral.